GGGCCCGCACAAGCAGCGGAGCAUGUGGUUUAAUUCGAAGCAACGCGAAGAACCUUACCUAGACUUGACAUCUCCUGAAUUACCCUUAACCGGGGAAGUCGGUACCUUUGGUAUCGACAGGAAGACAGGUGGUGCAUGGUUGUCGUCAGCUCGUGUCGUGAGAUGUUGGGUUAAGUCCCGCAACGAGCGCAACCCUUAUUGUUAGUUGCUACCAUUUAGUUGAGCACUCUAGCGAGACUGCCCGGGUUAACCGGGAGGAAGGUGGGGAUGACGUCAAAUCAUCAUGCCCCUUAUGUCUAGGGCUACACACGUGCUACAAUGGCAAGUACAAAGAGACGCAAGACCGUGAGGUGGAGCAAAUCUCAAAAACUUGUCCCAGUUCGGAUUGUAGGCUGAAACUCGCCUACAUGAAGCCGGAGUUGCUAGUAAUCGCGAAUCAGCAUGUCGCGGUGAAUACGUUCCCGGGCCUUGUACACACCGCCCGUCACACCAUGAGAGUUGGCAAUACCCGAAGUCUGUGAGCUAACCCGUAAGGGAGGCAGCAGCCGAAGGUAGGGUCAGCGAUUGGGGUGAAGUCGUAACAAGGUAGCCGUAGGAGAACCUGCGGCU
RNAcentral lists this ribosomal RNA (609 nucleotides) under uncultured Clostridium sp. RNAcentral's name for it is "bacterial SSU rRNA". It matches the Rfam family "Bacterial small subunit ribosomal RNA", at positions 917 to 1519 of the family's 1533-position model. Lineage: Bacteria; Bacillati; Bacillota; Clostridia; Eubacteriales; Clostridiaceae. The record is from RNAcentral.